AUGGGAAUAAUAAUAGCACCCACCUCCCAGGGUUGUUUUAAGGAUCAAAUAAGACAAUAAUUGUAAAGCACUUAGCAGAGUGCCUGACAUAUAUAUACUAGGUGCCAUGUAAAUAUUAGUUGCUAUUAUCCUUAUUAUUCUUAUCUCUCUCUAGCCUACCUAUGAGCCUUCUGCAGAAUGAGAAACCCAGAAUCGAGGAAAGUCCAAGUCCUGAGAUUCAUAUAUUCUCCAUUAUCCACAGGCAGAUCAAGGACCCCUAGAGCUCAGUCUCGUCCCUCUCUCUGUCUUCAUGGGAAGCUCGAAAAUUUCCCCUCUGGAGAUGUCCUGCUCAUGGCCAGCCCAGAGCAGCAUCCUCCACACUUGGUGGCCAGCGAGCUCAUUGGGUUUAGCCUGGCUCAAGGUGGAGAGGGACAAAGGAGAAAAGACUGUGUCAGAGAACACGUAGAAGCAAGUGUUGGAGCUGCUGCCUGGUGGACAUGCCUUCCAGAGCUGCUCAGCUGAUUAACUUGAUGCUAUGGCGACUGCAGAAAGAACAAAUGUGGGAAUUACAGUUCACUUCUGUCCUGCUUGGCAAGAAGUAAGAAGAAGAAAGUUCAUCCACAAGGCACAGUUGGCAAAGGACUCGCCAUUCUGUUCAAGCAGCUGAAGGACCUCGAGAACUCCUAGAGAGCCCCUCUGUGAAAUCACUUUCUCAUCAGCACUUUCCAUCACGACUCUAGUUUUAGAAGAUGGUGCCUCGAAGCACCCUCUCCAUGGCAGACCUGGCCCACUUAAUUAUCUCACUAAAGAUGGAAUGCAAAGGGAGGAAAGGAAUUUCAAAUAAAUCCAUUUUACCACUCAUUAUGAGCUCUGGUAAAAUUCUAACUGGGAAGGGCCUUGAAACUAAUGACAAAAAAAUGAGGUGUGUUUAAUAUUCUAGAGGGAAAAGAACCCCUACCAGGGCCUUUAUUUACCACCUCUUUGUGGCACAGAAACAGCAGUUUGGAUGUUUACAGAAAUCCAUCAGGUUUGGGGAAUCCCCAUGGAGGAGGCUACAGACUGAUGGGGAACAAUGGUGACAGCUACAGUAGGAGCAGGCUGUACGAGGAAACGCUCAUUCCCACAACUUGGGUCUCACUGAAGGUGGCCAGCUCCAAGAAAUCCCAUCUUCAGUGUCCCAAGUAGAAAAUCUUAUUUUAUUUUAAGCUGUGACUUGCCAGAUUCUGGUGAAAUCCCGAGUUGUUCAUUAGGAACUCAGGGACCUCAGCAGGUUUAGGAAGACCACACACACUUACUGGACUUUAACCAGAGUGCUAGACUCAGACAAAUAAAAACAGAUGUUCCCACCUACAUGCCAGGCUGUUUCAAGGAAGCAUACUGAAACUAGCUUAGAAUGUGUAAGUUUUUCUAUUCUGCACAUUCGAAAGUUAUGUGGAUAAAGGCCAUCCCAAAGCAAUAUG
This is a long non-coding RNA of Monodelphis domestica (gray short-tailed opossum), 1439 nucleotides long. RefSeq lists it as uncharacterized. Lineage: Eukaryota; Metazoa; Chordata; Mammalia; Didelphimorphia; Didelphidae. The record is from RefSeq and is a predicted model, not a curated record.